Molecule: ribosomal RNA, 254 nt
Filed under: Cyclophora tenuis
Lineage: Eukaryota; Bacillariophyta; Fragilariophyceae; Cyclophorales; Cyclophoraceae
Description: partial Bacterial small subunit ribosomal RNA
Rfam family: Bacterial small subunit ribosomal RNA
Source: RNAcentral
GGUUAAGUCCCGCAACGAGCGCAACCCCUGCCGUUAGUUGCCAGCAUUUAGUUGGGGACUCUAACGGGACUGUCGGUAACAAGCCGAAGGAAGGUGGGGAUGACGUCAAGUCAGCAUGCCCCUUAUGUUCAGGGCUUCACACGUGCUACAAUGGUCAGUACAAAGGGCUGCGACACUGCGAAGUGGAGCCAAUCCCUAAAGCUGGCCUCAGUUCGGAUUGAGGUUUGCAACUCAGCCUCAUGAAGGCGGAAUCG